RNAcentral lists this ribosomal RNA (437 nucleotides) under uncultured Derxia sp. Its description in RNAcentral is "bacterial SSU rRNA". It matches the Rfam family "Bacterial small subunit ribosomal RNA", at positions 937 to 1382 of the family's 1533-position model. Lineage: Bacteria; Pseudomonadati; Pseudomonadota; Betaproteobacteria; Burkholderiales; Alcaligenaceae. The record is from RNAcentral.
UGAUGUGGAUUAAUUCGAUGCAACGCGAAAACCUACCUACGCUGACAUGUCAGGAACCUCGAAGAGAUUUGAGGGUGCCGAAAGGGAACCUGAACACAGGUGCUGCAUGGCUGUCGUCAGCUCGUGUCGUGAGAUGUUGGGUUAAGUCCCGCAACGAGCGCAACCCUUAUCAUUAGUUGCUACGCAAGGGCACUCUAAUGAGACUGCCGGUGACAAACCGGAGGAAGGUGGGGAUGACGUCAAGUCCUCAUGGCCCUUAUGCGUAGGGCUUCACACGUCAUACAAUGGUCGGUACAGAGGGUUGCCAACCCGCGAGGGGGAGCCAAUCCCACAAAGCCGAUCGUAGUCCGGAUUGCAGUCUGCAACUCGACUGCAUGAAGUCGGAAUCGCUAGUAAUCGCGGAUCAGCAUGUCGCGGUGAAUACGUUCCCGGGUCUU